This 74-nucleotide transfer RNA is filed under the name Crithagra dorsostriata (white-bellied canary). Its description in RNAcentral is "Serinus dorsostriatus (white-bellied canary) tRNA-Ile". Lineage: Eukaryota; Metazoa; Chordata; Aves; Passeriformes; Fringillidae. The record is from RNAcentral.
GGAAAUGUGCCCGAACCCUAGGGGUCACUAUGAUAAAGUGAACAUGGAGGUGCACCAGUCCUCUCAUUUCCUAU